Molecule: long non-coding RNA, 1411 nt
Organism: Arvicola amphibius (Eurasian water vole)
Lineage: Eukaryota; Metazoa; Chordata; Mammalia; Rodentia; Cricetidae
Exons: 6
Source: RefSeq, a predicted model, not a curated record
GUGAAGUCAGAGAGAAGCCAUGUAGCCCUGCUGGAGCCAGACAGAACUUUACUCGCUUCACCAACAGGCGAAAGAAAACAGAAACAAGAACCACAUGAUACUGUUUGAAAAGAAAAAUAGAAGUAUUCUUUGAUGCCCCAGGCCUGGGAGAAGUCUGAAUGAGUAAACACAAGGAAGCCCUCCCCACCUCUACUCCAACCGGGAGGAGUCACUGGGACUCUGAACUUGGAGCCACACCAAUCCGCUCAGAGGAAGAACUUUGCGCUCCGCCCCUUGGACGCCGUCACCAGAAAGGCCUGGCACUGUGACCCUUGAGAGGCCUGACUUGGAUACCCUGACCUGCCAGUGGCAAGGGCUUCAGCACUUAUGCGUGAAAGGACUCCAGGCAGCGCUGAGCUGGCACAGAGACACCACCAGAACUCCCGGGUUGUGUUCAGAAUCCUUCUUAAUCUAAAGCACUGAGGACCAGAGAUGUGUCCAGAGGGUCAAAAUGAAACAAGACUCGUUGACAAAGCAGGUGAACGUAAGACAUGCCAGCACCUUGAAGCAUCCUGUAUCUCCAAGAAGACAGAGGACACAGAAGAACUUUCACCUGGAAGCUUGCUUUAAAUGUGGCAAUGCCAGCCACUGAGCCAAAAUCCUGCCUUUCACCUCAACUGCUACAAAGACCUUGUUCAAACUGUGAACAAGGGGAGCAAUGGAAGAUCAAUUGUCCUACCCUGCCAAGACAGCAACCUACCUUCUUCACCUCCUCAAGAAACAGAUACCUGUGGUCUUCAGGAUGGCAGUUAACUGGAUGUUUCUCCACCCAUACCUCUUUCUGAGCAUGAGCCCACCAACUCCUGACUCUUCCCUCCCACACACACACAUAAUCCCAUGCCUUCGGGAUGCAGUCAGACAUGAAUUGGAGCCCAUAUACCCAAAGAGUCUGGGAAGUUCUGGUCGAUGCUCCACCUCAGUCCCCCAUUUCUCUUUCCCAAAACCCUGCCCCAUUCCAGAAAGUGUGCCCUCGUGUAUAGUAGGAGCUCAUUGUUCAUUUCCCAGUAGCCCAGAUUUCCAAAAUAACCACACAGAAAGGGUAUUAAUUAAAUCACUGCUUGGUCUUAACAGCUCCAGCGGGCUACACGGCUUCUCUUUGACUCUGUCUUCUCCCAGCAUUCAGUUUAGUUUUUCCUGCCUUGCUCUGUUCUACCCUAUCAGGCCAAGCUAGUUUCUUCUUUUUUUUUUUAGAGAAAAGCAUAAUUUUAUUUUUAUCAUAAACAAAAUAUUAGUUACAAUUUUGACUAACUUAUUCCCACAUUUUAGGCCACUUUUUUUCUGAUAAUUUUUAUUACUUUAUAAAUAAUACCAUUCAAAAUUUCCACUUCCUCUCCUCCUCCCACUUCUCUCCUGCUUUCCCACUCACCCUUCU